CAACACCGGCCUCUUCCUCUCCUCCACAGGACUCUCCUCAUCUACAACUACUUCUUCCUUCUCCGCCGAUCUCAGCAGCGGUUCUUGAACCCGUCCUUCCACGUCUUGUUCUUCACCGCGGUUCAAGCUUCGUAUGAACGAGUGGAAAGGUAUGGCGAUCGGAGAGAACAAGAGGAAGAGAAGUACGGAGGCAAAAACGACCGAGAACACUCCGGUUUUGAUUCCGAUGAUGUCGUAAGACUGAAGGUACACAGCCACAACGACGGCUAGGAUGUUGAACACGGCGAAGUAACGCGUCUCUUCGCUCUCCUCGUCGGCGGAGGAAGCCGGAGGGAUCUCACGGAGGAAGAAAACCGCCGUGAGACAGACAGCGAAAGGCACGACGGCGAGUAAAACGAGAAACGACGCCGGAUCGUUUGAGAAGAGAGCAGUGCAGAGAUCGGUGAAAAUAGCCGUGCUUAGACCGACGUAUCCUUUCAAGAUCCCCGGGAAAAUGCAUCGCCGGCGCCGGAGCACAUGGUUCUUGGAGGCGCCUGGGAAAUCGUGCCUGGGAGAGAUAAUCUUCGAGUUUUACAUUCAAUUAUAUGACAAAAUAUAUGAACAAAAUCUUGAAAAGUUUAUGCUAGUGUGCGGUGACUCUGACUACAAGUACAACAUUGUAUCAUGAAUGAAACCAAUAUAUUUUUCAUGUAAAAAACAUCAGUAUCUCAAACUAAAAAAUCGUGAUGAACAAUCUAGUGCAAUCUAACUAGAACAAUUAUUAACUAAGGUCACUGCCAGAACUUUUGGCCUUUUUGCUAGCGUGAAUCUUAGCAUAAAUCUCCUUUGUCCUAUAAGCCAACAGAAUAUCUAAACCGACUCCAAUAAUAGAAGCUGAAGCCAUCACCAAGAAGAUGAGACGGUAACAAUGAGCUCCGACGCAAGUGUUGCCCCCACCAGGAGUUGGUGUAGCCUCUGCAUCGUAGAGGAACCCAGCGAGAAGACCAGAGAAGAGGAACGAGCCGAGUGGCAAGUUAAGUACUAAGAUGUUGUAGAUGAGACCAUAGUAUUUGAGACCAAAGAGUUCUGAUGCUGUGGGUACGGUAAUAGCUAGACGGACACCAUAACAAACUCCGACCACCAUUGAACCGAUGUAAAGUGAAUUGGGGACAGCUAAAGCCAUUAGUAGAUACCCUACAGCCAUGAGGAUUUGAGAUGCUGCGUUCCAUAGUGGUCUUGGUGUUCCAGCUUUCCUAUAGAAAUCAAGAGUAAAAUUCACACUAUUUGUUCAGUAAAGUUAUUAAAUCAGCACGCUGAUAAUGAUCUUCUCUCUUUUUUGUUGAUCAUGAAAAAUCUAUGCACGUAAAUAGUUUGUAAACAUCUUAAAGUUUGUAAAGAAUCUAGAGGGGGACAUUCACGUGGUGAGGAAUUAAACAGUGUGGUCCUAAUAAAAAGAGCAAGAUCGCUGGAUUUGGACUUAUCUAUGCACAAGAACAAAAAACUAUUGAAAUGAUCAAACAGAGAAAUCUAAAAGAUCUGUUUUCUAUAAUUGAAAAGUCAAUAAGUGGAGAAAAAUGCAGACAAACCAUUGAUUGUGUGUCCAUGGGUGUAGAUGGGUUAUAGCUUUCUAAUUAAUGUUAGAACGGUAGUGAAAGCUUAACGAUAGCUCCGUACCAAAAAUACCAACCACAUGAAAAUAAAGUGAAUAGUAAGUUGCGGGCGGAUACAAUUGUAUGGAACAUAAAGUGUCGGCAAGUGCUAAUUGGAAGAUGGUGUGUAGAAACCUAACCAAAUAAUUAGACUUUUUGUCAACUUUGAAAAUAGUUAGAUAUUAAUCAAAAAAAAAAUUAGUAUUCACAAAAAAUAAUCAAAACUUAUUUAUGUCAAAAAAAUUAUUGUUACAAUUUCAAUGUAUUUCUGUUAUUAAUUAAUCUCUUUUACCAUUAUACUAAAUUUUUUAAAAUAAAAGCAAUAAAAUUUUAAUAGUUAAAUAAGGAUAAACUAAAUAUUAACUAUUUUCUUAAUAAGUACAUUUUGAUUUAUAUGCUUUUUCAAGAAAAUAACUUUAUCGGAAAUAACAAAAAAUUGAAAAGGUGACUGAAGUAGGAGGAGACUUACUUGAGAAAGUGUUCGGAGAGUGUACCGGAGAGAAUACGACCGAAGAAGCCCCAAAUACUAGUCAUGGAGACGAAGAUCGAGACGUCUGUGUAACCAAGUGCAAGCCCAAUCUGGCCCAUGUUGUUCAUCACUGCCAACCCAGUCCCUACACCACACAAGAACGAGACGAACAGCACCCAAAAAUCCACCGUCAGCAUCGCUUCCAUUAUCGUGUGUUCUUCUCCCAACACCGGCCUCUUCCUCUCCUCCACAGGACUCUCCUCAUCUACAACUACUUCUUCCUUCUCCGCCGAUCUCAGCAGCGGUUCUUGAACCCGUCCUUCCACGUCUUGUUCUUCACCGCGGUUCAAGCUUCGUAUGAACGAGUGGAAAGGUAUGGCGAUCGGAGAGAACAAGAGGAAGAGAAGUACGGAGGCAAAAACGACCGAGAACACUCCGGUUUUGAUUCCGAUGAUGUCGUAAGACUGAAGGUACACAGCCACAACGACGGCUAGGAUGUUGAACACGGCGAAGUAACGCGUCUCUUCGCUCUCCUCGUCGGCGGAGGAAGCCGGAGGGAUCUCACGGAGGAAGAAAACCGCCGUGAGACAGACAGCGAAAGGCACGACGGCG
Molecule: long non-coding RNA, 2709 nt
Filed under: Brassica napus (rape)
Lineage: Eukaryota; Viridiplantae; Streptophyta; Magnoliopsida; Brassicales; Brassicaceae
Description: long non-coding RNA (BNAP_LNC000159)
Source: RNAcentral